GAGUUUGAUCAUGGCUCAGAUUGAACGCUGGCGGCGUGUUUCACACAUGCAAGUCGUGCGAGAAAGGGGACUUCGGUCCCUGAGUAGAGCGGCGCACGGGUGAGUAACGCGUGGAUAAUCUCCCCAGAAGUUCGGGAUAACGGCGGGAAACUGCCGCUAAUACCGGAUACGCUCCAAUUUCGGUUGGGGGAAAGGCGGCCUCUGUUUACAAGCUGUCGCUUCUGGAUGAGUCCGCGUCCCAUUAGCUUGUUGGUGGGGUAAUGGCCUACCAAGGCUACGAUGGGUAGCUGGUCUGAGAGGAUGAUCAGCCACACUGGAACUGAAACACGGUCCAGACUCCUACGGGAGGCAGCAGUGGGGAAUAUUGCGCAAUGGGGGAAACCCUGACGCAGCGACGCCGUGUGAGGGAUGAAGGCUUUCGGGUCGUAAACCUCUGUCGGGAGGGAAGAACCUUCCAGGUCUGAAUAAGGCUUGGAACUGACGGUACCUCCAAAGGAAGCACCGGCUAACUCCGUGCCAGCAGCCGCGGUAAUACGGAGGGUGCAAGCGUUAAUCGGAAUCACUGGGCGUAAAGCGCGCGUAGGCGGUCUUUUAAGUCGGACGUGAAAGCCCUCGGCUCAACCGGGGAACUGCGUUCGAAACUGGGAGACUUGAGUCCUGGAGAGGGUGGCGGAAUUCCGGGUGUAGGAGUGAAAUCCGUAGAUAUCCGGAGGAACACCGGUGGUGAAGGCGGCCACCUGGACAGGUACUGACGCUGAGGCGCGAAAGCGUGGGGAGCAAACGGGAUUAGAUACCCUGGU
RNAcentral lists this ribosomal RNA (800 nucleotides) under uncultured bacterium. Its description in RNAcentral is "bacterial SSU rRNA". It matches the Rfam family "Bacterial small subunit ribosomal RNA", at positions 9 to 791 of the family's 1533-position model. The record is from RNAcentral.